RNAcentral lists this ribosomal RNA (497 nucleotides) under uncultured bacterium. RNAcentral's name for it is "partial 16S ribosomal RNA". It matches the Rfam family "Bacterial small subunit ribosomal RNA", at positions 28 to 507 of the family's 1533-position model. The record is from RNAcentral.
GAUGAACGCUGGCGGCGUGCCUAGUACAUGCAAGUCGAGCGAACAGACGAGGAGCUUGCUCCUCUGACGUUAGCGGCGGACGGGUGAGUAACACGUGGAUAACCUACCUAUAAGACUGGGAUAACUUCGGGAAACCGGAGCUAAUACCGGAUAAUAUAUUGAACCGCAUGGUUCAAUAGUGAAAGACGGUUUUGCUGUCACUUAUAGAUGGAUCCGCGCGGCAUUAGCUAGUUGGUAAGGUAACGGCUUACCAAGGCAACGAUGCAUAGCCGACCUGAGAGGGGGAGAGGCCACAGUGGAAAGGCGACAGGAUCGAGAAUGUGACUGGAGGAAGAAGGAGCGAAUGGUGACCAAUGGGCGAAUGCCUUAAGUAGCAACGCCGAGUGAGUGAUGAAGGUUUAAUGAUCGUAAAACUCUGUUAUUAGGGAAAAACAGAUGUGUAAGUAACUGUGCACAGCUUGACGGGACCUAAUAAGAAAGCCACGGCUAGCUACGUG